CAGCUGCUGAAUUGGUGAAUUCCCUAGCGUAUUCAUUGACUUGUGGUCUGGAAAAUACAUCAGAUGGGCUAACUUCUCAGUUAAGCCUCCAAAUGCAGGCCUGUGUUUUUAUAUAAACAACAAACUUGUCUAAUCGGCCGUUUUCCUCCUUUCCAGGUAUAGGUUGUGCAAGAAGCUUUCAGAUCAAACAACAGACCUGGAAGGCACUGAACCCGUGUGGUGAAAUCUACUGUGCAUCUUGGCAACAACGGCCCUGUGUGCCUUGGGCUGACAUCAUGUCUUUGUGGUCAUACAAAAGUAAGACCAGUACAAAAUUUAGAUACUCCCGUGGGCAGGCUUCCACUUUGCCAUGUUCUAAUGCCAUUUAAAGUCACCUCUGCC
Molecule: long non-coding RNA, 381 nt
Filed under: Gopherus agassizii (Agassiz's desert tortoise)
Lineage: Eukaryota; Metazoa; Chordata; Testudines; Testudinidae
Description: lncRNA (ENSGAGG00000024585.1)
Source: RNAcentral